GACGAACGCUGGCGGCGUGCUUAACACAUGCAAGUCGAACGGGCCUGCCUUCUUUUUUGGGGGGUGGGUUGAGUGGCGAACGGGUGAGUAUCACGUGAGUAACCUGCCCUUCGGUCCUGGAUAACCGCUUGAAAGGGCGGCUAAUACGGGGUGGUCCGGUUGGUCCGCAUGGGCUGGUCGGGAUAGAUUCACUGUUUUUGGUGUUUCGGCGGGGGAUGGGCUCGCGGCCUAUCAGCUUGUUGGUGGGGUGAUGGCCUACCAAGGCGGUGACGGGUAGCCGGCCUGAGAGGGUGGGCGGCCACACUGGGACUGAGAUACGGCCCAGACUCCUGCGGGAGGCAGCAGUGGGGGGUAUUGCACAAUGGGCGGAAGCCUGAUGCAGCGACGUCGCGUGAGGGAUGGAGGCCUUCGGGUUGUGAACCUCUGUUUCCGGUGGUGAAGGCCCUGUCCGUGUGGUGGGGUUGACGGUAGCCGGGGAUGAAGCGCCGGCUAACUACGUG
RNAcentral lists this ribosomal RNA (500 nucleotides) under uncultured bacterium. RNAcentral describes it as "partial 16S ribosomal RNA". It matches the Rfam family "Bacterial small subunit ribosomal RNA", at positions 28 to 507 of the family's 1533-position model. The record is from RNAcentral.